Molecule: transfer RNA, 81 nt
Filed under: Podococcus barteri
Lineage: Eukaryota; Viridiplantae; Streptophyta; Magnoliopsida; Arecales; Arecaceae
Description: tRNA-Cys
Rfam family: tRNA (bases 1-71)
About the family: Transfer RNA (tRNA) molecules are approximately 80 nucleotides in length. Their secondary structure includes four short double-helical elements and three loops (D, anti-codon, and T loops).
Source: RNAcentral
GGCGGCAUGGCCAAGUGGUAAGGCGGGGGACUGCAAAUCCUUUAUCCCCAGUUCAAAUCCGGGUGUCGCCUGAUCGACAAA